GGGAUAUUGCACAAUGGGCGCAAGCCUGAUGCAGCCAUGCCGCGUGUGUGAAGAAGGCCUUCGGGUUGUAAAGCACUUUCAGUCGUGAGGAAGGUAGUGUAGUUAAUAGCUGCAUUAUUUGACGUUAGCGACAGAAGAAGCACCGGCUAACUCCGUGCCAGCAGCCGCGGUAAUACGGAGGGUGCGAGCGUUAAUCGGAAUUACUGGGCGUAAAGCGCAUGCAGGUGGUUUGUUAAGUCAGAUGUGAAAGCCCGGGGCUCAACCUCGGAAUAGCAUUUGAAACUGGCAGACUAGAGUACUGUAGAGGGGGGUAGAAUUUCAGGUGUAGCGGUGAAAUGCGUAGAGAUCUGAAGGAAUACCGGUGGCGAAGGCGGCCCCCUGGACAGAUACUGACACUCAGAUGCGAAAGCGUGGGGAGCAAACAGGAUUAGAUACCCUGGUAGUCCACGCCGUAAACGAUGUCUACUUGGAGGUUGUGGCCUUGAGCCGUGGCUUUCGGAGCUAACGCGUUAAGUAGACCGCCUGGGGAGUACGGUCGCAAGAUUAAAACUCAAAUGAAUUGACGGGGGCCCGCACAAGCGGUGGAGCAUGUGGUUUAAUUCGAUGCAACGCGAAGAACCUUACCUACUCUUGACAUCCAGAGAACUUUCCAGAGAUGGAUUGGUGCCUUCGGGAACUCUGAGACAGGUGCUGCAUGGCUGUCGUCAGCUCGUGUUGUGAAAUGUUGGGUUAAGUCCCGCAACGAGCGCAACCCUUAUCCUUGUUUGCCAGCGAGUAAUGUCGGGAACUCCAGGGAGACUGCCGGUGAUAAACCGGAGGAAGGUGGGGACGACGUCAAGUCAUCAUGGCCCUUACGAGUAGGGCUACACACGUGCUACAAUGGCGCAUACAGAGGGCGGCCAACUUGCGAAAGUGAGCGAAUCCCAAAAAGUGCGUCGUAGUCCGGAUUGGAGUCUGCAACUCGACUCCAUGAAGUCGGAAUCGCUAGUAAUCGUGGAUCAGAAUGCCACGGUGAAUACGUUCCCCGGGCCUGUA
This 1035-nucleotide ribosomal RNA is filed under the name Vibrio sp. JF05. Its description in RNAcentral is "bacterial SSU rRNA". It matches the Rfam family "Bacterial small subunit ribosomal RNA", at positions 358 to 1385 of the family's 1533-position model. Lineage: Bacteria; Pseudomonadati; Pseudomonadota; Gammaproteobacteria; Vibrionales; Vibrionaceae. The record is from RNAcentral.